RNAcentral lists this ribosomal RNA (397 nucleotides) under uncultured bacterium. Its description in RNAcentral is "bacterial SSU rRNA". It matches the Rfam family "Bacterial small subunit ribosomal RNA", at positions 28 to 429 of the family's 1533-position model. The record is from RNAcentral.
GACGAACGCUGGCGGCGUGCUUAACACAUGCAAGUCGAGCGGUAAGGCCCUUUCGGGGGUACGACGAGCGGCGAACGGGUGAGUAACACGUGGGUGACCUGCCCUCAGCUCUGGGAUAAGCCUGGGAAACCGGGUCUAAUACUGGAUAUGACUCCAUGACGCAUGUUGUGGGGUGGAAAGCCUUGUGCGGCUGAGGAUGGGCCCGCGGCCUAUCAGCUUGUUGGUGGGGUGAGGCCUACCAAGGCGACGACGGGUAGCCGGCCUGAGAGGGCGACCGGCCACACUGGGACUGAGACACGGCCCAGACUCCUACGGGAGGCAGCAGUGGGGAAUCUUGCGCAAUGGGCGAAAGCCUGACGCAGCGACGCCGCGUGAGGGAUGACGGCCUGGUUGUAAC